RNAcentral lists this non-coding RNA (230 nucleotides) under Paenibacillus sp. RNAcentral describes it as "T-box sequence". It matches the Rfam family "T-box leader". From Rfam's summary of the family: Uncharged tRNA acts as the effector for transcription antitermination of genes in the T-box leader family. T-boxes are found upstream of many aminoacyl-tRNA synthetase genes and some amino acid biosynthetic genes usually in Gram-positive bacteria. The record is from RNAcentral. Lineage: Bacteria; Bacillati; Bacillota; Bacilli; Caryophanales; Paenibacillaceae.
CUAACGUCUAUGAAGGAAAAAAGGUACAUGAUGGUUUUCAGAGAGCCGAUGGUUGGUGCAAAUCGGUAAACCAAAUGUUAUCUUUGAGCGAUCCUGAGUCACUGUAUUGAACUCAAGUAGGUACAGUCGGUUGAUCCCGUUAGCGAUCCGGUCAAUACAUUGACCAUAAGGCUGAUUCUUGUGAAAGAACAGCGAAUUAGGGUGGUACCACGACAGCUCUCGUCCCUUUG